RNAcentral lists this ribosomal RNA (254 nucleotides) under uncultured bacterium. Its description in RNAcentral is "partial 16S ribosomal RNA". It matches the Rfam family "Bacterial small subunit ribosomal RNA", at positions 524 to 776 of the family's 1533-position model. The record is from RNAcentral.
GACGGAGGAGGCAAGCGUUGUUCGGAAUUAUUGGGCGUAAAGGGCUCGUAGGCGGAUCGGCAAGUCUGACGUGAAAUCUCCACCGCUCACCGGGGAGAGGUCGUUGGAUACUACCGAUCUGGAGUUUGGCAGAGGGUCGUGGAAUUCCGGGUGUAGCGGUGGAAUGCGUAGAUAUCCGGAAGAACACCGGUGGCGAAGGCGGCGACCUGGGCCAAAACUGACGCUGAGGAGCGAAAGCCAGGGGAGCAAACGGG